GUGGACUUAGAUGGUGUAGGUAGUGGACUUAGAUGGUGUAGGUAGUGGUCUUAGAUGGUGUAGGUAGUGGUCUUAGAUGGUGUAGGUAGUGGACUUAGAUGGUGUAGGUAGUGGUCUUAGAUGGUGUAGGUAGUGGUCUUAGAUGGUGUAGGUAGUGGACUUAGAUGGUGUAGGUAGUGGUCUUAGAUGGUGUAGGUAGUGGUCUUAGAUGGUGUAGGUAGUGGACUUAGAUGGUGUAGGUAGUGGUCUUAGAUGGUGUAGGUAGUGGACUUAGA
Long non-coding RNA from Oncorhynchus keta (chum salmon), 275 nucleotides. RefSeq lists it as uncharacterized. The transcript is spliced from 3 exons. Lineage: Eukaryota; Metazoa; Chordata; Actinopteri; Salmoniformes; Salmonidae. The record is from RefSeq and is a predicted model, not a curated record.